This 482-nucleotide ribosomal RNA is filed under the name uncultured bacterium. RNAcentral's name for it is "partial 16S ribosomal RNA". It matches the Rfam family "Bacterial small subunit ribosomal RNA", at positions 30 to 507 of the family's 1533-position model. The record is from RNAcentral.
AUUGAACGCUGGCGGCAUGCUUUACACAUGCAAGUCGAACGGUAACAGGCCGCAAGGUGCUGACGAGUGGCGCACGGGUGCGUAAUGCAUCGGAACGUGCCCCGUCGUGGGGGAUAACUACUCGAAAGAGUAGCUAAUACCGCAUACGAUCUAUGGAUUAAAGCGGGGGACCGUAAGGCCUCGCGCGAUUGGAGCGGCCGAUGUCAGAUUAGGUAGUUGGUGGGGUAAAGGCUCACCAAGCCAACGAUCUGUAGCUGGUCUGAGAGGACGACCAGCCACACUGGGACUGAGACACGGCCCAGACUCCUACGGGAGGCAGCAGUGGGGAAUUUUGGACAAUGGGCGCAAGCCUGAUCCAGCAAUGCCGCGUGCAGGAAGAAGGCCUUCGGGUUGUAAACUGCUUUUGUACGGAACGAAACGGCUCUGGUUAAUACCCGGGGCUAAUGACGGUACCGUAAGAAUAAGCACCGGCUAACUACGUG